Molecule: ribosomal RNA, 253 nt
Filed under: uncultured bacterium
Lineage: Bacteria
Description: partial 16S ribosomal RNA
Rfam family: Bacterial small subunit ribosomal RNA
Source: RNAcentral
UACGAAGGGUGCAAGCGUUACUCGGAAUUACUGGGCGUAAAGCGUGCGUAGGUGGUUUGUUAAGUCUGUUGUGUAAGCCCCGGGCUCAACCUGGGAAUGGCAAUGGAUACUGGCAAGCUAGAGUGCGGUAGAGGGUGGUGGAAUUCCGGGUGUAGUGGUGAAAUGCGUAGAUAUCCGGAGGAACACCAGUGGCGAAAGCGGCCACCUGGACUGUACCUGACGCUGAAACGCGAAAGCUAGGGGAGCGAACGGG